RNAcentral lists this ribosomal RNA (501 nucleotides) under uncultured Desulfobulbus sp. RNAcentral's name for it is "bacterial SSU rRNA". It matches the Rfam family "Bacterial small subunit ribosomal RNA", at positions 887 to 1382 of the family's 1533-position model. Lineage: Bacteria; Pseudomonadati; Thermodesulfobacteriota; Desulfobulbia; Desulfobulbales; Desulfobulbaceae. The record is from RNAcentral.
GCCCGCUCAGAAACUUAAAUGAAUUGACGGGGCCCGGCACAAGCGGUGGAGUAUGUGGUUUAAUUCGAUGCAACGCGAAGAACCUUACCUGGUCUUGACACCCCGGAGACCCUUAGGAAACUAGGGGGUGCUUCCAUCUGGAAGAAUCUGGAGACAGGUGCUGCAUGGCUGUCGUCAGCUCGUGUCGUGAGAUAUUGGGUUAAGUCCCGCAACGAGCGCAACCCUUGCCUUUAGUUGCCAGCAGUUCGGCUGGGCACUCUAAAGGGACUGCCGGUGUUAAACCGGAGGAAGGUGGGGAUGACGUCAAGUCCUCAUGGCCUUUAUGACCAGGGCUACACACGUACUACAAUGGCCGAUACAAAGGGCAGCGACACUGCGAGGUGAAGCCAAUCCCGUAAAAUCGGUCUCAGUCCGGAUUGGAGUCUGCAACUCGACUCCAUGAAGUUGGAAUCGCUAGUAAUCGUGGAUCAGCGUGCCACGGUGAAUACGUUCCCGGGCCUU